RNAcentral lists this ribosomal RNA (192 nucleotides) under uncultured bacterium. RNAcentral's name for it is "partial 16S ribosomal RNA". It matches the Rfam family "Bacterial small subunit ribosomal RNA", at positions 1309 to 1500 of the family's 1533-position model. The record is from RNAcentral.
AACCCGACUACAUGAAGCUGGAAUCGCUAGUAAUCGCGGAUCAGAGUGCCGCGGUGAAUACGUUCCCGGGUCUUGUACACACCGCCCGUCACACCAUGGGAGUCGGAAAUGCCCGAAGUCGGUGACCUAACUGAAAGGAAGGAGCCGCCGAAGGCAGGUCUGGUGACUGGGGUGAAGUCGUAACAAGGUAUC